AACGCACAUUGCGCCCUUUGGUAUUCCUUAGGGCAUGCCUGUUCGAGCGUCAUUUCAAACUUCAAGCCCCCCUCAUGGCUUGGUGUUGGGCGUCUGUCCUCCCCCCGGGACUCGCCUCAAAUGCAUUGGCAGCCGGCACGUUGGCUUCGAGCGCAGCAGAAACGCGCGCGGCGUCUGACGGUGCCUGGCUCUCCAGGAAGCCUCCCCCCCAAGUUUGACCUCGGAUCAGGUAGGGAUACCCGCUGAACUUAA
Molecule: unclassified non-coding RNA, 252 nt
Filed under: uncultured fungus
Lineage: Eukaryota; Fungi
Description: partial contains 5.8S ribosomal RNA, internal transcribed spacer 2, and large subunit ribosomal RNA
Source: RNAcentral